GGAGAUUUAACACUGCGCUGAAUAUAUUCAGCUGUAAGACUGUGACAGGAAAGAUUGUAGAGAAUGAAGGAAUUGUUCUACAGUUAGGUUACGUGGGUGUAAAUGUAAAUCUGUGUGUUUAGCAGCACCGGGCUAACAGGUCAUCCUAUAGGCUGAUGGAGUGUUUUCGAGCUGUCCGCAUGAACACCAUACACAUUUCAGUGUGAUAUUUUCACACUGCAUUAGCCCACAGUUUUACGAUCCUUUAAUGACAAUACUAUGAAAAAGACAACGUGGAUUAUUUAAUCUGGCAUUUAACACCCAGGAGCUUUCAGCUGGUCCCGAUUCUCAUUCCUCUUAUAUAUAAUUAGUAUAUAAUUAAUUAUGUAUAAUUAUAUAUAGUUAUAUUAGUUAUAGUUAUAUUAGUUAUAUAAGUGUGCUUAAAAGUGAUGUUCUGGGGGCAGAGUUAUGUGUAUAUUGGAGGGAAUGGGGCGAGCUCUAGGAGUAAAGAAAAUAAAAUUAAAAUCUUAUUCAACUCCACGUAUGUAACCCCUAGAGACAUAAUCUCAAAUGAUCUUAAUCUUGAUAAAUAAUCUGCCUAAUCUUAGUGACUUAAUCCAAAUUUUUACAGAUCAUACCAAAUGUACCUUUAAAGUCACACCUUUGUGUGUGUGUGUGUGUGUGUGUGUGUUAUAGUGGUCCAGUCAGAAUCAGAAAGGAAGCCGGUGAGUCCCGUGCUGCCUGUAGUGAUAACGGGGGUGCUGCUGCUGGUCCUGGUUAUUAUGGGAGCAGCGUUUGUGAUGAAGUAUCUACAUGUAAAGCGUCUUAAGCAGGAAAAAGCGGAUCUGGAGGAAACUGUAAGUAAUGAAACUGUGCAGCAUCGCAGUGUUGUGUGUGUGUGGGAGUGAGUGUUGUGUGUGUGUGGGAGUGAGUGUGUUGUGGAGUGUUGUGUGUGUGAGAGAGUGUGUGGGUGUGUGUGUGGGAGUGUGUGUUGUGUGUGUGUGUGGGAGUGAGUGUUGUGUGUGUGUGUGUGGGAGUGAGUGUUGUGUGUGUGUGGUGUGUGUGUGUGAGAGAGAGUGUGUGGGUGUGUGUGUGGGAGUGUGUUGUGGUGGAGUGUGUGUGUGUGGGAGUGUGUGUGUGUGUGUGUGAGUGUGUGUGGUGAGUGUGGGAGUGUGUGUGUGUGUGGGAGUGUGUGUGUGUGGGAGUGUGUGUGUGGGAGUGUGUGUGUGUGUGGGAGUGUGUGUGUGUGGGAGUGUGUCUGUGUGUGUGUGGGAGUGUGUGGUUGGUGGUGUGAGUGUGUGUGAGUGUGUGUGUGUGUGUGUGUGUGUGUGUGUGUGUGUGUGUGGGAGUGUAUGAGGAGUGUAUGAGAGUGUGCUGUAAAGAGGAUGCUAGAAACAGGGUUAAUGUUCCAGGAAAGUUCCAGAUCGUAUCAGGAGCUGCGGAUGGGUUCCAGCUUCACUGGCUAUCAGUGAUGAUCUGAUGAUUUAAAUGGAAGAAAUAGGUGAAGGAGAAUGGCCUGACCGGUUCAAGCUGGACAGAAGACUAUGUGUAACUCAAAACAGAAGAGCAUCUCAGAACACACAGUUUCACGCAGGGUUAGAAGGAGGUUCCUAAUAAUUUGGUUGUCGAGUGUAUCUCAGAAGAAAAGCAUGCGCUGCAGUACGCUCAGUGUGAUUAUAUUUGAGAUCUAUUUUACAGAUUAGACUGAACCUAUCGGAGAUAGAUGUGGAUAAUGGCCGGCGGAGAGCGAACAGCGAUGCGACAGCAGCAGAGUGGCUGAGGCAGAUGGUAGCGGUGGAAAAGCUGAUACAGCGAUACAAACCUGACUCAGUGAGAAGAUCUCGGAGCUGGACGAACCUGUACGACAUCCCGGAGCUGGAGAUGUUGAAGAAGAAGAAGGCAGAAUUGGACAUGGCUGUAAGGAGCAGGGGGAUCUCGGAGCAGGACACAAUCGGCCAGUGGUGGAGUUUGAAGAGGCCAGAACUGAACACGAUCAUAGAGCGCUGGAGAAAGUUUGACGCAGAACCGGACGUGGUGAUCCCGGCAGAACGAUGUUAUAGCUAUCCUUGACAGAACUUUGACAGCAAUAUCAGCAGUGUGUUCAGGUUUGAUCUACCUGCACUGGUCGAUUUUGUUAUUUCUGCUGUGAGCUGGCUGUAUUUGUGUUCUGUAAACAACGCACACUGUGAAUGAAAAAACAACAACAACCAGCUCAUAGUGUGAGUUCCUGCAUACUGCAGUUCACUCGUAGCCUUGUGAAGUACUUGAGCCCUGUUACUGGGGCGUUUACGGAUAUAAACUGAACCCAUUUAAUCAGCCCGAGAGAUUGCACAUUUUGGUUUACUUUAUUCGGUGUUUAGUUAUAUAUCCAGUAACACUAUGUGUGCAACACUAGCAACAAAACUACACAUCAGGUUUACAAAGCAUGACUUGCUCUGUGAUUAUACAAGGUGAUGAGCACAUUGUUCACUUGUUAACUUCCGUAACGCAACUGAAUCCAUUCAGUUAUAAUCAGAUAAUCAGACAAUCAGAUAAUCAGACUGACAAAACGUCUGCAGUGCUCCUGCUUCAUCCCAUCAUCAUCAUCAAAACAGAGAGGAGCGCUUACACACAUUACAAAAGAGCUCCUCUAACAAAGAAUAACAGUAGGUUUAACAUUAAGAUAGAAGUCCCCUUCCCUCCCGGCCCUAAAUCUCACACACGUAGUAUUUUAAAACACUUUUUUAUCCAUGUUGUCAGGGACGUGUGCGUUACCAUGCAGCUGUAAUAAAUAUAGCGCAACUGUGUGUAACUGUGUGUAAAUAUAGUGUAAGUGUGUAAGACAUUUGAUUGUUUUUAUAUUCUGGAAUAUUUUUAACCAAAAUAAAUCUAUCUUCUGUAACUUUGAGUUUUGAUAAGCAGUUAUUUCAGUGUGUGUUAAUGUGUGUGUGUGUGUGUGUGUGUGUGUGUGUGUGUGUGUGUGUGUGUGUGUUGUUAUUGACUCAGUGUUUAAUUUACAGGGCGAUCAGGCGAAUCUCAUGAAGAGUUAAAGGAUCAAAUUAAUUUAGGGCUCAGUUUGAAUUUUAUUAUCUCAGUAUUAACAGGAUGAUUUAAACCAUUCUCUGCUUCCCUGCAUUAUUAUUAUUAUUAUUAUUAUUAUUAUUAUUAUUAUUAUUAUUAUUUUAUUUUGCAUUAACCAAACUGAGCCACGUGUUAGAUGAAUUAGAUGAAGAUUUCAGUGCUUUAUCUCUAACCAAAACUCCAUUUAAACACGACUGAACAAGGCUGUGUUAUAACACAGUGCAUGCUGAAGACUUUUUAGAAACUCUUUUUUCACCAGCUGCGUCUCCUUCUCCACUCUGACCCUCGUCUGAGUGGUUCUCCGUCUGCACAUCUGAAACCACACAGAAC
Molecule: long non-coding RNA, 3369 nt
Organism: Ictalurus punctatus (channel catfish)
Lineage: Eukaryota; Metazoa; Chordata; Actinopteri; Siluriformes; Ictaluridae
Source: Ensembl